Molecule: long non-coding RNA, 438 nt
Filed under: Phoenix dactylifera (date palm)
Lineage: Eukaryota; Viridiplantae; Streptophyta; Magnoliopsida; Arecales; Arecaceae
Description: long non-coding RNA (PDAC_LNC007651)
Source: RNAcentral
AGGAUAGAGAAGAGAGAGAAUCUCAAUCUGGAUUCAAUCAGGGGUCACGGGUCAACCUUGAUCAUUCAACAUGUCUGGCCAUGAAUCAAGAGAGAGAAAUAAGAGAGAAGAAGAUAGAGAAAAUGGGGAAGAGAGAGAAAGGAGAGAGGAAGAGAGAACAAGGUCUCUGUCUAGAUAAGGAAAGAAGAAAGGAGAGGAAGAGGGUGGCUGUGGAUGACGCCUAGGGUUAGGGACCCAUGGUCGGCCAACAAGCAGCUGGCGACUGGUGGCGACUGGCGAUUGGCAACCCCAAACCCACUCAAAACAAGAGUUCCGACUGGCAACCCCAAACCCACUCAAAACAAGAGUUCUGAUCCCAUUUAACCUCGAAAAUCAUGCAUCCCAAUGGCUGAAGCUCUGGCCAUGGUCUCUUGCCACUGCGGGGGAUUGGGGGAAGAG